ACAGCAGUCGCCACGGGAAUACAGAGGGUGCGAGCGUUAAUCGGAUUUACUGGGCGUAAAGCGUGCGUAGGCGGCUAAUUGAGUCGGAUGUGAAAUCCCCGAGCUUAACUUGGGAAUUGCAUUCGAUACUGGUUAGCUAGAGUGUGGGAGAGGAUGGUAGAAUUCCAGGUGUAGCGGUGAAAUGCGUAGAGAUCUGGAGGAAUACCGAUGGCGAAGGCAGCCAUCUGGCCUAACACUGACGCUGAGGUACGAAAGCAUGGGGAGCAAACAGGAUUAGAUACCCCGGUAGUCCCUGUCUCUUAUAA
Molecule: ribosomal RNA, 305 nt
Filed under: uncultured bacterium
Lineage: Bacteria
Description: partial 16S ribosomal RNA
Rfam family: Bacterial small subunit ribosomal RNA
Source: RNAcentral